GCAUAUCAAUAAGCGGAGGAAAAGAAAAUAACAAUGAUUCCCUUAGUAACGGCGAGUGAAGGGGGAUAAGCUCAAAUUUUAAAUCUACCAGGUUAACCUGGUCGAGUUGUAAUUUGAAGAAGCGUUUUCCGCGUUCGGGUCGGCCCAAAUCCUUUGGGAUAAGGUAUCAUGGAGGGUGAGAAUCCCGUUCGGCUGACCUUAGGAUGCUUUACGAUACGCUCUCAAAGAGUCGAGUUGUUUGGGAUUGCAGCUCAAAAUGGGAGGUAAAUUUCUCCUAAGGCUAAAUACCGGCGAGAGACCGAUAGCGAACAAGUACCGUGAGGGAAAGAUGAAAAGAACUUUGAAAAGAGAGUUAAAUAGUACGUGAAAUUGUUGAAAGGGAAACGAUUGAAGUCAGUCGUACCGGCGGGAAAUCAGCUUUUCGAGUGGGGGUUCGCGGGUGCGUGGAGCUUCUUCGGCCUUCGUCGCUUGUGACACCUUUUGCUUCUGGAGCGUACUUUUCCGUGUGGUAGGUCAACAUCGGUUUCGAUUGCCAUAAAAUGACCGGAGGAAUGUGGCUUCGAUCUUGUAUUGGAGUGUUAUAGCCUCUGGUAGAUGUGGUGGUUGGGAUCGAGGAUUGCAACGAAUACCCUUUGGGCUAUCCGCCUGACCUCUGAAAGUCGCUUGGGUACCGAAAGCUUGCUUACGGUCAUUCAAGUUGGCGGUCAAAAGGUUAGAACGUGAUUAAAUUCGUUAAGGAUGUUGACGUA
This 749-nucleotide ribosomal RNA is filed under the name uncultured Glomerales. Its description in RNAcentral is "LSU rRNA". It matches the Rfam family "Eukaryotic large subunit ribosomal RNA", at positions 38 to 633 of the family's 3401-position model. The record is from RNAcentral. Lineage: Eukaryota; Fungi; Glomeromycota; Glomeromycetes; Glomerales; Glomeraceae.